GCCGGAGGAGAGUCACCACAUCCAGGUGUUUGAUCCGACCCCUGGAGAAGAACAAUGCUACCAUGACAAGAGGGACGAGUGGACAAGGAGUCUAGCUGAAGUGUUCUGGGCCAAGGCUUCUAGCCCUUCUUAGGGAUAAAAGCAGGCCCUUCGGCUGGGCGUGGUGGCACAAACAUUUAAUCCCAGCACUCCGGAGACAGAGGCAGAGGUAGGUGGA
Molecule: long non-coding RNA, 217 nt
Organism: Psammomys obesus (fat sand rat)
Lineage: Eukaryota; Metazoa; Chordata; Mammalia; Rodentia; Muridae
Exons: 3
Source: RefSeq, a predicted model, not a curated record